AGCGAACGCUGGCGGCAGGCUUAACACAUGCAAGUCGAGCGGGCGUAGCAAUACGUCAGCGGCAGACGGGUGAGUAACGCGUGGGAACGUACCUUUUGGUUCGGAACAACUGAGGGAAACUUCAGCUAAUACCGGAUAAGCCCUUACGGGGAAAGAUUUAUCGCCGAAAGAUCGGCCCGCGUCUGAUUAGCUAGUUGGUGAGGUAAUGGCUCACCAAGGCGACGAUCAGUAGCUGGUCUGAGAGGAUGAUCAGCCACAUUGGGACUGAGACACGGCCCAAACUCCUACGGGAGGCAGCAGUGGGGAAUAUUGGACAAUGGGCGCAAGCCUGAUCCAGCCAUGCCGCGUGAGUGAUGAAGGCCCUAGGGUUGUAAAGCUCUUUUGUGCGGGAAGAUAAUGACGGUACCGCAAGAAUAAGCCCCG
Molecule: ribosomal RNA, 423 nt
Filed under: Bradyrhizobium elkanii
Lineage: Bacteria; Pseudomonadati; Pseudomonadota; Alphaproteobacteria; Hyphomicrobiales; Nitrobacteraceae
Description: bacterial SSU rRNA
Rfam family: Bacterial small subunit ribosomal RNA
Source: RNAcentral